This 647-nucleotide long non-coding RNA is filed under the name Micromonas commoda. RNAcentral's name for it is "long non-coding RNA (MCOM_LNC000024)". Lineage: Eukaryota; Viridiplantae; Chlorophyta; Mamiellophyceae; Mamiellales; Mamiellaceae. The record is from RNAcentral.
AGAAGCUGAGCGAGCAAAGCGCUCUCUCUCCAAUCAGCACCAGGUCCGUGUUGAGAUAGAAUCUCUUCAUGAUGGGCUCGAUUUUUCGGAACCGCUGACUCGCGCUCGCUUCGAAGAAUUAAACAACGACCUGUUCCGGAAAACGAUGGGACCCGUCAAAAAAGCCAUGGAGGAUGCAGGAAUGAAAAAGUCACAGAUCGAUGAAAUUGUCCUUGUCGGCGGGUCAACUCGAAUUCCUAAAGUUCAAGCGCUACUAAGAGAAUAUUUUGACGGUAAAGAACCAAACAAGGGAGUCAACCCCGACGAAGCAGUUGCAUAUGGCGCAGCUGUGCAAGGAGGAAUCCUCUCUGGGGAAGGUGGAGAUGAAACAAAAGACAUCUUGCUUCUUGAUGUUGCUCCCCUCACUCAGGGAAUCGAAACCGUCGGAGGAGUUAUGACAAAGCUGAUUCCUAGGAACACUGUGAUCCCGACCAAAAAAUCACAGACAUUUACCACUUACCAAGACAAUCAACAGACUGUGAUGAUUCAAGUGUUCGAGGGGGAGCGAGCCAUGACGAAAGACAAUCAUCUACUCGGAAAGUUCGAGCUCACGUCCAUUCCCCCUGCUCCGCGCGGUGUUCCUCAAAUCGAGGUAACUUUUGAAAUUG